AUUGAACGCUGGCGGCAGGCCUAACACAUGCAAGUCGAGCGGAUGAAGGGAGCUUGCUCCUGGAUUCAGCGGCGGACGGGUGAGUAAUGCCUAGGAAUCUGCCUGGUGGUGGGGGAUAACGUCCGGAAACGGGCGCUAAUACCGCAUACGCCCUGAGGGAGAAAGUGGGGGAUCUUCGGACCUCACGCUAUCAGAUGAGCCUAGGUCGGAUUAGCUAGUUGGUGGGGUAAAGGCCUACCAAGGCGACGAUCCGUAACUGGUCUGAGAGGAUGAUCAGUCACACUGGAACUGAGACACGGUCCAGACUCCUACGGGAGGCAGCAGUGGGGAAUAUUGGACAAUGGGCGAAAGCCUGAUCCAGCCAUGCCGCGUGUGUGAAGAAGGUCUUCGGAUUGUAAAGCACUUUAAGUUGGGAGGAAGGGCAGUAAGUUAAUACCUUGCUGUUUUGACGUUACCAACAGAAUAAGCACCGGCUAACUUCGUG
Molecule: ribosomal RNA, 484 nt
Filed under: uncultured bacterium
Lineage: Bacteria
Description: partial 16S ribosomal RNA
Rfam family: Bacterial small subunit ribosomal RNA
Source: RNAcentral